GAAAAUGGAUGAAGAUCUGAGAAAAGAUUCAGAUGUCUCUCUUAUUGAACCGCCAUUGCUUAUUGAAGAAAUGGGAGUGGUACUUGCAGAGAAACUGCCAUCUGAAGAAGUGCAAAUUGCGAAACCGUCGUGCCAUCAAAAACCC
Leptinotarsa decemlineata (Colorado potato beetle) is the source of this 145-nucleotide long non-coding RNA. Lineage: Eukaryota; Metazoa; Arthropoda; Insecta; Coleoptera; Chrysomelidae. The record is from RefSeq and is a predicted model, not a curated record.